Molecule: long non-coding RNA, 2246 nt
Organism: Aegilops tauschii subsp. strangulata
Lineage: Eukaryota; Viridiplantae; Streptophyta; Magnoliopsida; Poales; Poaceae
Source: RefSeq, a predicted model, not a curated record
ACUCUUUUUUAUUGACCGAUUUGGCUGUUUUGUAGGCAAUUGAAUGGUUCAGCUAUUUAAUUUUCGUCGGAAUACAUUUUUUAGAAUUGUUUGUUGGAGCACAUGAGCAACAUGUAUUCACGUAGGCGUUGGGCUUAGAUUGGCCACUAAACGAUUUAAUGUACUUUUCUUUCUUUUUCUUUUUUGCGGGGAUGCGAUUUUCUGCUCUCAAUGGGAUAUUAUAAUCUUUUUUAGGGAGGCAAAAUAUUUAAGCUAGGCAGAAUUGAUUGAUCGUGUCCAUGUUACAGGCGGGAACAUACACAUCCUUUAUUUAUUUAAAAUAUUUUUUAAUCUGGACCAUAAAUUUUUAUAAUCAAUGAAUUAAAUAAUUUUGUAUUAUGAACGGAUGUGGUGGCUUCUUUUUUGUUUUCUAACAUUAAUAUUUUCAAGUACGGGCUGGUUUUAGCCUUUUUUAAUAGGGUGCCUCUGGUUUAUAGUUUUAUAAUUUUUUAAUCAGUUGAUUAGCGGCCGCUUGGUGGGUUGGCCUGUCGCCGUGUCCGAUUGAAACUGUGCAUCUCCCUGGGCCAGGUUUUAUUUGGAUGCAUGCAAACGUAUAGGUGUGUAUUUCUAUGGAGGCACGUGAUAGAUAUAUUUGCAUGUAACUUUUUUAUUUGUUAAUUUUAACUGCCGCACGCUUCCCUAUAUAUGCAUAUAUAUACAUGUGACGGUUCAAUGCGACCGUAUAUACAUGUUUACCAUGUUACGUAACAACUUUAAAUCUUAGCCAUUAUUAUUUUGAUCAAACGGUGCAAAUAAUAUAUAGAAAGUUUAUUAAGGACCCAGGCUGAAGAAUAAGUAAUUCUUCAUCCCGAUCCAUCUACCGAGCCAGGAUUCGGUCGCUCGGCCGUGUGGAUGCAAUUCCUUUUUUUUCACGCCCGCACAACGUAAGAUUACCUCGCAACUUUUGGCACACGGGUAGCUCCUGGCCAUUAAAAAAAAUCCUUGCUUUGGUCGUGGCAUUAGCAGGUUGCCCAGCCAGGUCCCCUGGUUAGGCAAGGCAACUGCGAGCGGUUGGAGCUCCGAUGGUGAUUAGCGGCGGUGGGCGGCGAGUGUGGUGGUCUGCGCAGAAUCGGCGUCCCGGCCUGGUAAGUGCGCGUGUGGCCUCGGCGUCUCUGCGGGUUCGUCAGUGCCAGGUGACGCGGCGGGUGGGGGUUGACACGGUGCUGCAUCGACCGCCAUUGAUUCUUGAUUUCCGACGGCCGCGGCGGCGCUGCUCCAGUACGCGCGGCGUCAUGGAAUUUGAAGAGGUUGAGGCAACAAAGAGAACAGAGGAAUAAGGUAGUCAGCUUUCUCUUCCUUUUCAUCUCUUGAUGCGGUGUCCUUUUCUUCCCAUCACGAUGGUGGGUAACCAGGUCUGCGCCGCUGGAGUUCUUCAGUAUAGCCCCAUCUCCAUCAACAUAUGGUAAAGGCUCAGAGGACCAACCCGCCCGCCCCCGUGUCGCUCCAACAGGGGCGACACGGGCGGCUAACCCUAGCCGCCGCCGCCGGCCUCCCCUCCCCUUCCUCUCCUCCUCGUCGCCACCAGAGGAGCCCCCGAUGCGUCGCGCGGCUACCGAGGAAGGUGGCGGCGGGGCCUUCGUCAUCCCUUCGCGGAGAUCCGGAUCCACGGGGCGGCGGCCCCUGCUGGUUCGGCGCCGCCGUUCGCGCCCUGGACGGUGUGCGCGGGGACUCUGCCCGGUGUCCUCGACCGCUCGGGUGGUGGGGAGUCGGCGCUUGGCGGCGGUAGUUCGGGGGCCUUCGUCCUCGCCAGAUCUGGAGGCCUGUUGCUCCCUCGUUCCCGCUCCUUCCCCUUUGCGCUUGAGGCCGGUGGAUGCUGCUGGUUCCGGUGCUUCUGGGGAUGGUGGUGCAGCAACACUCUUGUACUAACUAUUAAAGCUGUUUUUUUUUCUUCAGAGAAUGGUACACUUAUCUGCUGGAAAUAAGAAUGUAAUAUGUAUCUGUGGCAUUGCUUUAUUUUUUUUGCUUGAUCUACAUGUAUACCAUGAGGUGCCAGAUCAAGCAUUUUGACACACAGUUAAGGAUUUAAGGCCGAAAAGGCAGACUUAUUUAUAAGGCCAGGAGUAGGCAUUUGCUUAGCGUGCCACAUUGCCACAAUAUUUCUAGUGUUAGUUUUCUAACAAUUUGUGUAUGAAGGCAACCUACUAUUCUCUCUUCAUCUGACUACAUGGGUAACAUUAUUUUGAUUAUUCAGUUGGUUGGAUGCUUAA